Molecule: unclassified non-coding RNA, 253 nt
Filed under: uncultured Pseudobdellovibrionaceae bacterium
Lineage: Bacteria; Pseudomonadati; Bdellovibrionota; Bdellovibrionia; Bdellovibrionales; Pseudobdellovibrionaceae
Description: uncultured Bdellovibrionaceae bacterium contains 16S-23S intergenic spacer region
Rfam family: Bacterial small subunit ribosomal RNA
Source: RNAcentral
UACGGAGGGUGCAAGCGUUGCUCGGAAUCACUGGGCGUAAAGCGUACGCAGGCGGCACGUUAAGUCGGGUGUGAAAGCCCGGGGCUCAACCCCGGAACUGCAUUCGAUACUGGCGCGCUGGAGUGCGGGAGAGGGAAGCGGAAUUCCUGGUGUAGAGGUGAAAUUCGUAGAUAUCAGGAGGAACACCAGUGGCGAAAGCGGCUUCCUGGCCCGAUACUGACGCUCAUGUACGAAAGCGUGGGGAGCAAACAGG